This 107-nucleotide small nuclear RNA is filed under the name Macaca nemestrina (pig-tailed macaque). Lineage: Eukaryota; Metazoa; Chordata; Mammalia; Primates; Cercopithecidae. The record is from RNAcentral.
GUGCUGGCCUUGGCAGCACAUACACUAAAAUUGGAAUGACACAAAGAAGAUUAGCAUGGUCCCUGUGCAAGGAUGACAUGGAAAUUUGUGAAGCAUUCCAUAUGGGG